This 134-nucleotide ribosomal RNA is filed under the name Aeromonas veronii. RNAcentral describes it as "partial 23S ribosomal RNA". The stretch from base 1 to 113 matches the Rfam family "Bacterial large subunit ribosomal RNA", at positions 2815 to 2925 of the family's 2925-position model. The record is from RNAcentral. Lineage: Bacteria; Pseudomonadati; Pseudomonadota; Gammaproteobacteria; Aeromonadales; Aeromonadaceae.
ACCCCUUGAGGGUCCUAAAGGGCCGUUGGAGACCACAACGUUGAUAGGUGGGGUGUGUAAGCGCAGUGAUGUGUUGAGCUAACCCAUACUAAUUACCCGUGAGGCUUAACCAUACAACACCCAAGAAGUGUUCU